UGAACCAAGGAUAAAUCAUACUCUGUCACUAUUAACCUCCCUGCUCGCAGCCUAAACUAGCGAUCGCGACAAGCUGACAUUCAGACUCCGGCAACCUGACCUUAUUUCUCCAAGAUGAAAUCGGAGGCCUGCAAAUCCUCUUUGAGAACCGGUGGGUAGACGUGACGCCAACACCUGAGCAUUCAUCGUGAACAUCGGUGAUCUCUUACAGAAAUGUUCAGCUCAUCUCCGACGAGAUUCAGGUGCGUGGAACAUAGAGUGGUAUAUAGCGAGGAACGCUGCGCCGAAGGUGUUGAUGAAGUCCUUCUUUAGCACGCAUUUCCAACCAGCCUCGAUGAGGAUGUACGGUCCGAUCAAGGAGCUGCUGUCCGAUGAGAACCCGCCGUUGUAUAGAGAGACCCUUGUAGAGACUACAUCAAACAUUAAUACUCGACACCCCGGGAAAA
This is a long non-coding RNA of Triticum aestivum (bread wheat), 446 nucleotides long. RefSeq lists it as uncharacterized. The record is from RefSeq and is a predicted model, not a curated record. NCBI's taxonomy places the organism in Eukaryota, Viridiplantae, Streptophyta, Magnoliopsida, Poales, Poaceae. The transcript is spliced from 2 exons.